This 253-nucleotide ribosomal RNA is filed under the name uncultured bacterium. RNAcentral's name for it is "partial 16S ribosomal RNA". It matches the Rfam family "Bacterial small subunit ribosomal RNA", at positions 524 to 776 of the family's 1533-position model. The record is from RNAcentral.
UACGUAGGGACCGAGCGUUGUCCGGAUUCAUUGGGCGUAAAGAGCUCGUAGGCGGCUGCUCAAGUCGAAUGUGAAACCUCGAGGCUUAACCUCGAGCCUGCAUUCGAUACUGGGCGGCUAGAGUCUGGUAGGGGGAUCUGGAAUUCCUGGUGUAGCGGUGGAAUGCGCAGAUAUCAGGAGGAACACCGGUGGCGAAGGCGGCAUCCUGGACCAAUAUUGACGCUGAGGAGCGAAAGCUAGGGGAGCAAACGGG